UCCUACCAAACUGAUAUCUCCAAAUGCCAUCUCGGAGAAAUUGCCAAAGACAUUUCCAUAGGCACCAUCCUCAUCACCACCAUCGCCAUUAUUCUCGACGACAUUACCAUCAUCAUAGAAGAUCCCAUUCCCACUCUACAAUAACUAUCCAAAUCCUGAUGACCAACCCACAUCACUUCCUUACCAUUUACAUCUCAUCCUCAUCAAGCAACUCUCUCCAAACUCAAAAGCAAAGACAUACUCCUCUUCCUGCUCAAACUCCACCACCAGUUCGAUAGCUAAGUCAUCCAGAAGAUCAACAUUCGACAACCAACACUCCUGUUCACCAGCAACAACAGCAUUCACCAGAAGAUCAGCAUUCAGCAGUUCAUCAACAGCCAGCACCAUCCAUUCCUCUAAUUCCUCCCGAAUUUGAAAAUGUGUAUAGAGGCAGGCUAGGAUGUAGAAGAAGCACACCACCGCUACAGCAGUUAAAACAACCCGGCACUCCAUCUAGCACCAGUUCAUCAUCUAGUCCAAAAACUUUAGCCUCUAAGAGACAGCACAUAUAAACAGAUGCUACCUACUCCCCACCAUCAAG
This 580-nucleotide long non-coding RNA is filed under the name Elaeis guineensis (African oil palm). Its description in RNAcentral is "long non-coding RNA (EGUI_LNC003106)". Lineage: Eukaryota; Viridiplantae; Streptophyta; Magnoliopsida; Arecales; Arecaceae. The record is from RNAcentral.